RNAcentral lists this ribosomal RNA (505 nucleotides) under uncultured Glomeromycotina. RNAcentral's name for it is "partial small subunit ribosomal RNA". It matches the Rfam family "Eukaryotic small subunit ribosomal RNA", at positions 591 to 1092 of the family's 1831-position model. The record is from RNAcentral. Lineage: Eukaryota; Fungi; Glomeromycota.
CCAAUAGCGUAUAUUAAAGUUGUUGCAGUUAAAAAGCUCGUCGUUGAAUUUCGGGAUUGACACAUCGGUCGUGCCUUAAGGGGUAUGAACUGGUGUAGUCAGUUUCUCACCUUCUGGAGAACCGCGAUGUCCUUAAUUGGGUGCCGCGAGGAACCAGGACCUUUACUUUGAAAAAAUUAGAGUGUUUAAAGCAGGCAUUUUGCUUGAAUACAUUAGCAUGGAAUAAUAAAAUAGGACGGAUGGUUCUAUUUUGUUGGUUUCUAGGAUCACCGUAAUGAUUAAUAGGGAUAGUUGGGGGCAUUAGUAUUCAAUUGUCAGAGGUGAAAUUCUUGGAUUUAUUGAAGACUAACUACUGCGAAAGCAUUUGCCAAGGAUGUUUUCAUUAAUCAAGAACGAAAGUUAGGGGAUCGAAGACGAUCAGAUACCGUCGUAGUCUUAACCAUAAACUAUGCCGACUAGGAAUCAGACGAUGUUAAUUUUUUAAUGACUCGUUUGGCACCUUACG